AACAGGGAUCUCGCAUGGACGAAGUCUGACGGAGCAACGCCGCGUGAGCGAUGAAGGCCUUCGGGUCGUCAAGCUCUGUUGUCAGGGAAGAACAAGUACCGGAGUAACUGCCGGUACCUUGACGGUACCUGACCAGAAAGCCACGGCUAACUACGUGCCAGCAGCCGCGGUAAUACGUAGGUGGCAAGCGUUGUCCGGAAUUAUUGGGCGUAAAGCGCGCGCAGGCGGUUCCUUAAGUCUGAUGUGAAAGCCCCCGGCUCAACCGGGGAGGGUCAUUGGAAACUGGGGAACUUGAGUGCAGAAGAGGAGAGCGGAAUUCCACGUGUAGCGGUGAAAUGCGUAGAGAUGUGGAGGAACACCAGUGGCGAAGGCGGCUCUCUGGUCUGUAACUGACGCUGAGGCGCGAAAGCGUGGGGAGCGAACAGGAUUAGAUACCCUGGUAGUCCACGCCGUAAACGAUGAGUGCUAAGUGUUAGAGGGUUUCCGCCCUUUAGUGCUGCAGCAAACGCAUUAAGCACUCCGCCUGGGGAGUACGGCCGCAAGGCUGAAACUCAAAGGAAUUGACGGGGGCCCGCACAAGCGGUGGAGCAUGUGGUUUAAUUCGAAGCAACGCGAAGAACCUUACCAGGUCUUGACAUCCUCUGACAACCCUAGAGAUAGGGCGUUCCCCUUCGGGGGACAGAGUGACAGGUGGUGCAUGGUUGUCGUCAGCUCGUGUCGUGAGAUGUUGGGUUAAGUCCCGCAACGAGCGCAACCCUUGAUCUUAGUUGCCAGCAUUCAGUUGGGCACUCUAAGUGACUGCCGGUGACAAACCGGAGGAAGGUGGGGAUGACGUCAAUCAUCAUGCCCUUAUGACCUGGGCUACACACGUGCUACAAUGGAUGGAACAAAGGGUCGCGAAGCCGCGAGGUCGAGCCAAUCCCAUAAAUCCAAU
Molecule: ribosomal RNA, 934 nt
Filed under: Bacillus sp. JZDN44
Lineage: Bacteria; Bacillati; Bacillota; Bacilli; Caryophanales; Bacillaceae
Description: bacterial SSU rRNA
Rfam family: Bacterial small subunit ribosomal RNA
Source: RNAcentral